ACUCCUACGGGAGGCAGCAGUGGGGAAUUUUGCGCAAUGGGGGAAACCCUGACGCAGCAACGCCGCGUGAGUGAUGAAGGCCUUCGGGUCGUAAAGCUCUGUCAGAGGGAAAGAAAUGUAAUUGUGCUAAUAUCAUGGUUACUUGACGGUACCCUCAAAGGAAGCACCGGCUAACUCCGUGCCAGCAGCCGCGGUAAUACGGAGGGUGCAAGCGUUGUUCGGAAUUAUUGGGCGUAAAGCGCGUGUAGGCGGUUUGUUAAGUCUGAUGUGAAAGCCCCGGGCUCAACCUGGGAAGUGCAUUGGAAACUGGCAGACUUGAAUACGGGAGAGGGUAGUGGAAUUCCUAGUGUAGGAGUGAAAUCCGUAGAUAUUAGGAGGAACACCGGUGGCGAAGGCGGCUGCCUGGACCGAUAUUGACGCUGAGACGCGAAAGCGUGGGGAGCAAACAGGAUUAGAUACCCUGGUAGUCCACGCCGUAACCGAUGAGAACUAGGUGUCGCGGGUA
RNAcentral lists this ribosomal RNA (505 nucleotides) under uncultured Geobacter sp. RNAcentral describes it as "bacterial SSU rRNA". It matches the Rfam family "Bacterial small subunit ribosomal RNA", at positions 335 to 831 of the family's 1533-position model. Lineage: Bacteria; Pseudomonadati; Thermodesulfobacteriota; Desulfuromonadia; Geobacterales; Geobacteraceae. The record is from RNAcentral.